UACGUAGGGGGCAAGCGUUGUCCGGAUUUAUUGGGCGUAAAGAGCGUGUAGGCGGCCCGGUAAGUCCGCUGUGAAAGUCGGGGGCUCAACCCUCGGAUGCCGGUGGAUACUGUCGGGCUAGAGUACGGAAGAGGCGAGUGGAAUUCCUGGUGUAGCGGUGAAAUGCGCAGAUAUCAGGAGGAACACCAAUUGCGAAGGCAGCUCGCUGGGACGUCACUGACGCUGAGACGCGAAAGCGUGGGGAGCAAACAGG
This 253-nucleotide ribosomal RNA is filed under the name uncultured bacterium. RNAcentral describes it as "partial 16S ribosomal RNA". It matches the Rfam family "Bacterial small subunit ribosomal RNA", at positions 524 to 776 of the family's 1533-position model. The record is from RNAcentral.